GCCCUUGUAGUUUAAUGGAUAGAACACCUCACUCCUAACGAGGCAAUGGCGGUUCGAUUCCGCCCGAGGGCA
Molecule: transfer RNA, 72 nt
Filed under: Candidatus Azambacteria bacterium
Lineage: Bacteria; Candidatus Azamiibacteriota
Description: tRNA-Arg
Rfam family: tRNA
About the family: Transfer RNA (tRNA) molecules are approximately 80 nucleotides in length.
Source: RNAcentral